Molecule: long non-coding RNA, 89 nt
Organism: Melanotaenia boesemani (Boeseman's rainbowfish)
Lineage: Eukaryota; Metazoa; Chordata; Actinopteri; Atheriniformes; Melanotaeniidae
Exons: 3
Source: RefSeq, a predicted model, not a curated record
GUGAGAGGUGUUGUCCAUGAUGGCGGACAGUUUUGCCAGAACUCUCCUCUCUACCACCACCUCAAUGGAUGGUAGAGAGGCGAGCUCAG